RNAcentral lists this long non-coding RNA (5795 nucleotides) under Sus scrofa (pig). Its description in RNAcentral is "lncRNA (ENSSSCG00000052126.1)". The record is from RNAcentral. Lineage: Eukaryota; Metazoa; Chordata; Mammalia; Artiodactyla; Suidae.
CUGCAGAAGGUGUUUAUACAUUUUGGAGAUGAAUCCAUUGUCAGUUGAUUCACUUGUAAAGAUUUUCUCCCAUUCUGUGGGUUGUCUUUUUGUUUUGUUUAGGGUUUCCCUUGCUGUGCAGAAGCUUUUAUGUUUGAUUAGGUCCCAUUUGUUUAUUUUUGUUUUUAUUGUCAAUACUCUAAGAGGUGGAUCUGAAAGAUGUUGCUGUCGUUUAUAUCAGAGAGUGUUUGGCCUAUGUUUUCCUCUAAGAGUUUGAUAGUGUCUGGUCUUAUAUCUAGGUCUUUAAUCCAUGUGGAGUUUAUUUUUGUGUAUAGUGUUAGAGAGUGUUCUGACUUCAUUCUUUUCCAUGUGGCUGUCCAGUUUUCCCAGCACCACUUAUUGAACAAGCUGUCCUUUCCCCAUUGGAUAUUCUUGCCUCCUUUGUCAUAGAUGUGUUGGCUGUAGGUGUGUGGGUUUAAUUAUGGGGUUUCUAUUCUGUUCCACUGAUCUAUAUUUCUGUCUUUGUGCCAGGACCAUACAGUUUUGAUGAUUGUUUCUUUGUAGUAUAGUCUGAAGUCCGGGAGCCUGAUUCCUCCAGCUCCAUUUUUCUUUUUCAGGAUGUCUUUGGCUAUUCUGGGUCUUUUGUGCUUCCAAACAAACUUUGAAAUAUUUUGUUCGAGUUCUUUGAAAAAUGUCCUUGGUAAUUUGAUAGGGAUUGUGUUGAAUCUGUAGAUUGCCUUAGGUAGUAUAGUCAUUUUGAUAAUGUAAACUCUUCCAACCCCCGAGCAUGGUAUAUUUUUCCAUCUCUUUGUGUCAUCUUUGAUUUCUUUCAUCAGUGGCUUAUAGUUUUCAGAGUACAGGUCUUUUGUCUCUUUAGGUAGGUUUACUCCUAGGUAUGUUAUUCUUUUGGAUGCAAUGGUAAAUGGGAUUGCUUCCCUAAUUUCUCUUUCUGCUCUUUCAUUGUUAGUGUAUAGAAAUGCUAUCAAAUUCUGUGUAUAAAUUUUGUAUCCUGCGACUUUGCCAAAUUCAUGGAUGAGCUCUAACAGUUUUCUGGUAGAGUCUUCAGGCUUCUCUAGGUAUAGUAUCAUGUCAUCUGCAAAUAGUGAAAGUUUUACUUCUUCCUUUCCAAUUUAGAUUCCUUUUAUUUCUUUUACUUCUCUGAUUGCCAUGGCUAGGACCUCCAAAACUAUGUUGAAGAGUAGUGGUGAGAGUGGACAUCCUUGUCUUGUUCCUGAUCUCAGCAGGAAUUCUUUCAGCUUUUCACCAUUGAGAAGGAUGUUUGCUGUGGGUUUGUCAUAUAUGGCCUUUAUUGUUUUGAGGUCGGUUCCCGUCAUUCCCACUUUCUGAAGGGUUUUUAUCAGAAAUGGGUGUUGGAUUUUGUCAAAGGCUUGUUCCGCAUUUAUUGAGAGGAUCAUAUGGUUUUUAUUGUUCAAUUUGUUAAUGUGGUGUAUCACACUGAUGGAUUUGUGGAUAUUGAAGAAUCUUUGCAUCCCUGGGAUAAAUCCACUUGAUCAUGAUGUACAAUCCUUUUAAUGUAUUGUUGGAUGCAGUUUCCUAGUAUUUUGUUGAGGAUUUUUGCAUUGAUGUUCAUCAGUGGAAUUGGCCUGUAAUUUUCUUUUUUGUGGUAACUUUGUCUGGUUUUGGUACCAGGGUGAUGGUGGCCUCAUAGAAUGAGUCUGGGAGUAUCCCUUCCUCUGCAAUUUUUUGAAAUAGUUUCAGAAGGAUAGGUGUUAUCUCUUCUCUAAAUGUUUGAUAGAAUUCUCCUGUGAAGCCAUCUGGUCCUGGACUUUUGUUUGUUGGAAGUUUUUUAAUCACAGUUUCCAUUUCAGUUCUUGUGAUUGAUCCAUUCAUCUUUUCUAUUUCGUCUUGGUUUAGUCUUAGAAGAAUUGCUUUUCUAAGAAUUUGUCCAUUUCUUCUAAGUUUUCCGUUUUAUUGGCAUAUAGUUGCAUAUAGUAGUCUCUUGUGAUCCUUUGUCUUUCUGUGAUGUCCCUUGUUACUUCUCCUUUUUCAUUUCUAAUUUUAUUGAUUUGAGUCCUAUCUUUUUUUUUUGCUUGAUAAGUCUGACUAAAUGUUUUUCAAUUUUGUUGAUCUUUUCAAAGAACCAGUUUUUUGUUUCAUUGAUCUUUUCUAUGGAUUUCUUAUUUUCUAUUUCAUUGAUUUCUGUUCUGAUCUCUAUGAUUUCUUUCCUUCUGCUAACUUUAGGUCUUUUCUGUUCUCUCUCGAGCUGCUUUAGAUGUAAAGUUAGCUUGUUUCUUUGAGCUUGUUCUUGUUUCCUGAGGUGGGCUUGUAUUGCUAUAAACUUUCCUCUUAGAAUGGCUUUUGAAAAGGACAAAUCAACAAUAACAUAAUAAUAGUAGGGGACUUUAACACCCCACUUACAGCUAUGGACAGAUCAACAAGACAGAAAAUCAAUAAGGAAACACAGGCCCUGAAUGAUGCAUUAAACCAGAUGGACAUUUAUAAGACAUUCUAUCCAAAAGCAAUAGAAUACACAUUCUUCUCAAGUGCACAUGGAACAUUCUCUAAGUUAUCACAUCCUGGGCUACAAAUCCAACCUUUGUAACUUUAAGAAAAUUGAAAUCAUAUCAAGCAUCUUUUCUGACCACAAUGCUAUACAACUGGAAAUCAACAAGAAAAAUUCUGCAAAAAAACACAAACACGUGGAGACUCAACAACAUGAUACUAAACAACCAAUGGAUCACUGAAGAAAUAAAAGAGGAAAUCAAAAAAUACCUAGAAGCAAAUGACCACAAAGAUAUGACACUCCAAAGGUGUCUUGUUUUAUGUUUAAGUCUUUAAGCCAAUUUGAGUUUGUUUUUGUGUAUGGUGUGAAAGUGCUUCCCAGUUUCAUUGAUUUACAGGCAGCUGCCCAGUUUUGCCAGCACCACUUGCUGAAGAGACUGUCUACUUCCAAUUUUAUAUUCUUGCCCCUUUUGUUGAAGAUUAAUUGACCAUAGGCUUCUGGGUUUAUUUCUGGGUUCUCUGUUCUGUUCCGUUGGUCUGUAUGUCUGUUUUGGUACCAGUACUAUACUGUUUUGAUUACUAUAGCUUUGUAAUAUUGUUUAAAGUCUGGGAGAGUCAUGCCUCCUGCUUGGAUUUUGCUCCUCAGAUUGCUUUGGCAAUUCUGGGUUUUUAUGGUUCCAUAUAAAUUGUGGUGGUGGUGUUGUAGUUCUGUAAAAAAUGUCAUGGGUAAAUUGAUAGGGAUAGCAUUGAAUCUGUAGACUGCUUUGGGUAGUAUGGCCAUUCUUAAAAUAUUAAUUCUUCCAAUCCAGGAGCUUGGAAUAUCUUUCCAUUUCUUUGAAUCCUCUUUAAUUUCCUUAAUUAAUAUUUUAUAGUUUUCAACAUAUAGGUCUUUCACCUUCUUUGUCAGGUUUAUUCCUAGGUAUUUAAUUUUUGGGGGGUGAAAUUUCAAAGGGUAUUGUAAUUUUAUAUUCCUUUUCCAAUACUUCAUUGUUAGUAUACAGAAAUGCAACCAAUUUCUUAAUGUUAAUCCUACAUCCUGCUACUUUUCUGAAUUUGUUGAUCAGUUUUGAGUAGUUUUUGUGUGGAGUCCUUAGGGUUUUCUGUAUAUAUAGUAUCAAGUCAUCUGCAUACAGUAACAAUUGUACCUCUUCCCUUCCAAUUUGGAUAGUUUUAUUUCUUUUAUUUGUCUGAUUGCUGUGGCUGGUUCUUCCAAUACUAUGUUGAAUAAAAAUGGUGAAAGUGGUGAAAGGCUUUCAGCUUCACUCUGUUGAGUUUUAUAUUGGCUGUGAGUGUGUCAUAAAUGACUUAUAUUAUGACAAGUUAUGUUCUCUCUGUACCCACUUUGGUAAGAAUUUUUAUCAUGAAUGUAUGUUAGAUUUUGUAAAAAGCUUUCUUUGCAUCUAUUGAGAUGAUCAUCUGGUUUUCAGCUUUUUUUAAUGUGGUUUAUGACAUUGAUUGAUUUGCAUAUGCUGAACCAUUCCUGUUAACUUGGUCAUGGUGUAUUAUUGUUUUUAUCUGUUGUUGGAUUGGGUUGGCUAAAAUUAUGCUGAGAAUUUUUGCAUCUAUAUUCAUCAUAGAUAUUGGCCUAUAAUUUUCUUUUUUGGCAGUAUCUUUAUCUGGUUUUAGUAAUAGAGUGAUUGUGACUUAAGAGAAGUCUUAGGGAGUAUUCCUUCUUCAACAUUUUUGGAGAAUUUAAGAAGAAUGGGUAUAAGUUCUUCUGUGUAUGUUUGGUAGAUUUCACCUGCAAAGCCAUGUAGCCCUGGGCUUUUGUAUGUAGGGAGUGUUUUUAUUAAAUACUCAAUUGUAUUUCUAGUGAUCAGUCUGUUCAAUUGAUAUAUUUCUUUUUGAUUCAAUUUUGGUGGUCUGUAUGUCUCUAGAAAGUUGUCCAUUUCUUCUAGGUUUUCAAAUUUGUUGGCACAUAAUUGUUCACAGUAUUCUCAUGUUUUUUGCUAUUUCUGCAGUAUCCAUUGAGAUUUCUCCUUUUUUUGUUUCUUAUUUUGUUUAUUUGAGUUCUUUCUCCCCUCUUACUGAUGAGUCUGGCUACAGGGUUGUCAAUUUUGUUUACCCUUUCAAAGUACCAGCUUUUGGUUUUAUUGAUUUUUUUCUAUUUUUCAAAUCGCAAUUUUAUUGAUUUACUCUCUGAUCUUUAUGAUUUCCUUCUUUUUACUGACUUUAGGUUUUGUUUGUUCUUAUUUUCCUAAUUCUUUUAGGGGGGGAGGUUAAGUUGUUGAUUUGAGAUUUUCCUUCUUUUUUCAGGAAGACGUAUACUGCUAUAAACUUCCCUCUAAGUACUGCUUUGGUGGCAUCCGAUAGAUUUUGAAUUUUUGUGUUUCAUUAUCAUUUUUCUUGAGAUAUUUUUAAACUUCCCUUUGGAUUUCCUCUUGACCCCUUGGUUUUUUAGUAGCAUUUUAAAUCUCCGUGUAGUUGUUUUUUCUCUCAUUUCUCUCCCUGUUUUAUUUCUAGUGUCAUGUAGUUGUGGUCAGAGAAGAUACUUGAAAUAAUUUGUAAGCUCAAAUUUUUUGAGGUUAGUUUUGUGCCCCAGUACGUGGUCAGUCCUUGAGAAUAUUCCAUGUGCACUUCAAAUAAUAUAUAUUCUGAUUUUUUUUGGAUGUAAUGUCCUGAAAAUAUCAAUUAAGUCUAAAUGUUCUACUGUGUCAUUUAGGAUCUCUAUGGCCCUUAUUGCUUUUCUGUUCAGAGGAUCUGUCCAUUGAUGUGAGUGGAGUGCUAAAGUCUCCUACUAUGAUUGUAUUCCCAUCAAUUUCUCCUAUUAUGUCUGUUAGUAUUUGUUGUGUGAAUUUGUGUGUGCCUAUAUCAGGGGCAUAUAUUGACAAGUGUAAUAUCCUUUUAUUAUUAAUAGUGUCAUUAUUUGGCUUUCCUUAUAGCCUUUGUUUUAAUGUCUAUUUUGUCUGAUAUGAGUAUUGCAACUCCUGCUUUCCUGUCUUUUCCAAUGGUGUGAAAUAUCUUUUUCUAUCCCCUUGCUUUAAAUUUAUAUUUGUCUUUGCCCCAAGAUGAGUCUCCUGAAGGCAACAUAUUAUAGGCUCUUUUUUCCUUAUACUGUCUGCCACUCUUGGUCUUUUGCUUAGAACAUUUAGUCCAUUGACAUUUAAGGUGAUUAUUGAUAACAUGUAUUUUUGCCAUUUUAAACCUUAUUUUUUCAGGUGCUCCUGUGUUUGUCCUUUUUUCCUUUCUUUUUAUGGUUCAGUGAUUUCCUUUUAUUUUAUGCUUCUGUCCUCUUCUUUUAGUAUUUGUGAAUGUAUUAUUUGGUUUUGAUUUGUGGUUACCCUGUUUUUAAAGUAUGUUAACCCCUUCCUGCAUCUGCUUGCUACAGCCUGAUAGUCAUAUAGGCUCAAAUC